AUCUGGCUGGCUCAGUUGGUAGAGCAUGUAACUCUUAAUUUCAGGGUCGUGAGUUCAAGCUCCAUGUUGGGUG
This 73-nucleotide transfer RNA is filed under the name Ailuropoda melanoleuca (giant panda). It matches the Rfam family "tRNA". From Rfam's summary of the family: Transfer RNA (tRNA) molecules are approximately 80 nucleotides in length. Their secondary structure includes four short double-helical elements and three loops (D, anti-codon, and T loops). Lineage: Eukaryota; Metazoa; Chordata; Mammalia; Carnivora; Ursidae. The record is from Rfam by way of RNAcentral.